Molecule: long non-coding RNA, 356 nt
Filed under: Rattus norvegicus (Norway rat)
Lineage: Eukaryota; Metazoa; Chordata; Mammalia; Rodentia; Muridae
Description: long non-coding RNA NONRATT021232
Source: RNAcentral
CUCCCGCAGCUCGCUCCGCCCCUCCCCGCCGCGCGGCCUGGCCACGGCCCGCCUACAGCGCAGCCGCCACCCACGGGUCUCGGAGAGCUGACGUCGCGGCUGCUGCAGCGGCCCCGGGGAAGGGCGGGAUCUAGGUGGAGUGGGCGGGGACAGGGCGACGUGCGGAUGCAGGGAUUGGCCGCCGGGAGUUCGCCCCGCCCUCCUGCGAAGGGGGCUGGGAAGUCCUGGCUUCCCCGAGAACUUGGAGAAGAGUCUCCUUUUCGCCUGUGCUACCUGAGAAUUUCCUGGAGCCACCCCUUGCCAUAGAAGAGGAUCUGGAGCUGUAGAGAAAAAUAUCACGAUUGAAGACCUCAGUG